RNAcentral lists this ribosomal RNA (439 nucleotides) under uncultured bacterium. RNAcentral describes it as "partial 16S ribosomal RNA". It matches the Rfam family "Bacterial small subunit ribosomal RNA", at positions 339 to 795 of the family's 1533-position model. The record is from RNAcentral.
CUACGGGGCGCUCCAGUGAGGAAUAUUGCACGAUGGGGGGAACCCUGAUGCAGCAACGCCGCGUGGAGGAUGACGCAUUUCGGUGUGUAAACUCCUUUUAUAUGUCAAGAAAAUGACGGUAGCAUAUGAAUAAGCACCGGCUAACUCCGUGCCAGCAGCCGCGGUAAUAAGGAGGGUGCAAGCGUUACUCGGAAUCACUGGGCGUAAAGGACGCGUAGGCGGGUUGGAAAGUCAGGUGUGAAAUCCUACAGCUUAACUGUAGAACUGCACUUGAAACUUCUAAUCUAGAGUAUGGGAGGGGGAGAUGGAAUUAGUGGUGUAGGGGUAAAAUCCGUAGAUAUCACUAGGAAUACCUAAAGCGAAGGCGAUCUCCUGGAACAUUACUGACGCUAAGGCGUGAAAGCGUGGGGAGCAAACAGGAUUAGAUACCCUUGUAGUC